GGGUGGCUGAGUGGUAGAGCAUCUGCUUUGCAUACAGAAGGACCAAGUUUCAAUAUCUAAUGGCAUCUCCA
Molecule: non-coding RNA, 71 nt
Organism: Podarcis lilfordi (Lilford's wall lizard)
Lineage: Eukaryota; Metazoa; Chordata; Lepidosauria; Squamata; Lacertidae
Source: the annotation of a GenBank genome assembly